RNAcentral lists this ribosomal RNA (871 nucleotides) under uncultured archaeon. Its description in RNAcentral is "bacterial SSU rRNA". It matches the Rfam family "Archaeal small subunit ribosomal RNA", at positions 4 to 882 of the family's 1478-position model. The record is from RNAcentral.
CUGGUUGAUCCUGCCAGAGGUCACUGCUAUCGGGGUUCGAUUAAGCCAUGCGAGUUGAGAGGGUUAAGACCUUCGGCGGACUGCUCAGUAACACGUGGAUAACCUGCCCUAAGGUGGAGGAUAACCCCGGGAAACUGGGGAUAAUACUCCAUAGGUUAAAGGUACUGGAAUGUUCUUUAACCGAAAGUUCCGGCGCCUUAGGAUGGAUCUGCGGCCGAUUAGGUUGUUGUUGGGGUAGUGGCCCAACAAGCCUGUAAUCGGUACGGGUUGUGGGAGCAAGAGCCCGGAGAUGGAAUCUGAGACACGAUUCCAGGCCCUACGGGGCGCAGCAUGCGCGAAAACUUUACAAUGCAGGAAACUGUGAUAAGGGAACCCCGAGUGCCCGUAUAUGCGGGCUGUCCGGAUGUUUAAAACGCAUCCCAAGAAAGGGCCGGGCAAGACCGGUGCCAGCCGCCGCGGUAAUACCGGCGGCUCGAGUGGUGGCCACUUUUAUUGGGCUUAAAGCGUUCGUAGCUUGAAUAAUAAGUCUCUUGGGAAAUCUGCAGGCUUAACCUGCAGGCGUUUAAGAGAAACUGUUGUUCUAGGAACCGGAAGAGGUGAUAGGUACUCCGGGGGUAGGAGUGAAAUCCUGUAAUCCCCGGGGGACCACCGAUGGCUAAGGCAUCUCACCAGGACGGCUUCGACAGUGAGGAACGAAAGCUGCGGGAGCGAACCGGAUUAGAUGCCCGGGUAGUCCCAGCCGUAAACGAUGUGCGUUAGGUGUGCCGGUGACCACGAGUCACUGGGGUGCCGAAGGGAAACCGUGAAACGUACCGCCUGGCAAGUACGGUCGCAAGGCUGAAACUUAAAGGAAUUGGCGGGGGAGCACCAC